Molecule: regulatory RNA element, 99 nt
Rfam family: c-di-GMP-I-GGC riboswitch aptamer
Source: Rfam
CUAGUAAAGGGCAAACCUAUCGAAAGAUAGGGACGCAAAGCCACGGGCCUAACGCGCUCAGGAAUGACCUGGGAUGCCAUGGUCGCCGGGCUGCCGGAA